GGAAGCACUUCAGUGUGAGUGUGUGAUAGUCCACAGGGACUAAUUAGGUUUGUUCCUGUUGGGGUACAAACAGUUCCAGGCUGCAUUUUGCUUGUAAUAAUUUGUUCUUGUGCAGCUAGUAUUUAUCUUGCAGCAAAGAAGGUCUGUGCUUUGCCUGUGCCCCUUGAGCAGGGACUUGACUUCCAUGAAUUUUGAUGAGCCUGUUUAGGUGACUAAAGGACUCUGCAUAUCUGUGGGGGUGUACACAGACAGCAUGUAUCUGUAACUUCUCUAGCUGCCUGCUUUGUAAUGCUCCAGGUCUAGCUGUGGCACUCUGGCUGUCCAUCUGUCGUUGUCCUUAUUGAGUCAUUUGAUUUGACCCUUUGAAAGCUCACAUGUUCUCUAGCUUGAAGUGUGUUUUGCUCUAAGUGAAGGCUGAGCACCUUACGUAGUCAUAGCUCUCCUGGAGCUGAGGCUGCAAGAGGAAAUAACCUAAUUGCAUAAAACUUAGUAACCCUUACAGCUAAAACUCCAGGUGCCAGUCUCUCCUCUGAGAGAUCAGACCCAUGUCACUCUGUAGUCCUGGCCCUAAGCUUUUUGAAGCCCUUAGAAACUCCCAUCACUUUGUAUCUGGCAAGCUGCUCUAACCAUGAUAUACUUACUAUUUUUCUGAGGGAUAUGGUUAUUAUUACUAUUAUACUUUGCCUUCUUGCUGAAUACAGCAGUCAGCAACCUGUAUAACCAGAGCUGGAGGUGCUGCUCAGUCCUCUGUGAAACCAGACCCAUCAUGUUGCCUUUGGGCUUCUUUGAACUUCGAAGAGUCCUCCCAAACUAAGAGGCUCUUCUACUUGACUGGGUACUCUAGUCAUAACAUACUCAUCCCUUAUCUGAGACGGAGUUAGCUAGUUCACCCAAUCUCCUUGCUGCAUUAGCAAAGGCUUUCCAUGCUGGCAGAGCAGCCUCUGUCAGGGAAGCCCAGAUGUGGGUGAAGCAGGCUAAUUUUAAUGAGCUAUUGCUCACACCUGGUGAUGGAGAGGGGCCUGGGGGCCUCUUCCAGGGAAGCCCAGAGCUGACUCUAAGGAGUUGCUGCUUGUGUCUACCUGGCUCCACACCUCAACUUGCUCAGAGGAGCUGACAAAGCCACUGCAAGGAACUCCUCAACAGCCAGGCUUGCUGGUGCCUCCAGAGCUUCUCAGGAGAAUAUGAUCACGUAUGCUUGUGGAUGCUGGGAGGAUCUGAUGUCAGCAUUCAAAACUGACGGAGAAUACAGAGAACCAAGUUGCUCAAGUUGGAAAGAAUUGCGUAUCCCAAGACCUCUGUCCCUGGACUCCAACAUGUGCACAGCCGGCUUCUCCCUCUCCUUUACCUGGGUCGCUCUCUUGAGCUUGAGAUCACAGCGGUGACUUGGAGAGAAUAAAGUGUCGAGUGGGGAGAAUCCAUUCUUGCCUGCGGUAUCCCUCAGGAGGACAUCUGGUGCUUUGGCCUCAACGUGACCUACAGAAACGUCUCUUGGCAGGCAAUCAAUGAUGGAGAAGCCAAAGAGCAGAGAGGCCCGGAUUCAUGCAACAAACCCGAGUCAUGGCUGGAAACUAAACUCAGGUCCAGGGUUUAUUUUGCUAGGUCAUAUUGCAUUUGCAUAGGAGUAUCAGUGAGCCUACUUGUGCACUUCCUAGGACACCGGACAUCAAACUCCCAUGUGGUAAAACUAGAAACUCAGUGGGAAUUAUCCAUAUCUGUCACUCAGACCUCUUAUUGCAAAUCCCAGCAAAGUGAAUGCAACUAUUCAAGGAGGAAGGUAGAAUUUGGUGUUAGAAUAGUGUGUGUAUUAGGAGACCACCUAUUUCUUUUGAGUUAACCUGAAAGCAAAACCUUUUGAAAUGUUUAAUCCAAACACAAAAUUGUAGAAAAAAUAAAAAAAAAGUUUCAGGCCAAGCAACAUUAAAAAACAAAACAAAACAAAGUUGUUAAAUUUCGUAACAAAACACCAUUUUGGAAAAGGUGAAAAUGAGUCGGGAUUUUGUGGCAGGGGGGCAGGGGGAAUGUAAUUUUAACAGAGGGAAAUGUUUCACUGAAAUCAACAGGAACUCAUCAAGCAUUUCAGUUGACCCCAAACUGCACAUUCUCGGGUGAAAAAUGUUCAGAUGAGAGACUUCACUGAGCAGAAGAAGGGGAUCAAGCUUGUCCUGGUGCAGAGGCUUUUACAAUCCAACUUGAGCUUUCUCAGAGAUGAAGUAAAGCUAAUGUCUUGUGAUGGUCCACAAGGUAAAGCUUCCCUAUGUGUCUAUUUUAGC
Molecule: long non-coding RNA, 2270 nt
Organism: Alligator mississippiensis (American alligator)
Lineage: Eukaryota; Metazoa; Chordata; Crocodylia; Alligatoridae
Exons: 4
Source: RefSeq, a predicted model, not a curated record